Long non-coding RNA from Monodelphis domestica (gray short-tailed opossum), 1756 nucleotides. The record is from Ensembl. Lineage: Eukaryota; Metazoa; Chordata; Mammalia; Didelphimorphia; Didelphidae.
UUAUAUUAGUUUGGAAGAGAGAAGGACUAGCAAUUGGGGGUGAUUGGGAAAGACUCCAUGCUGAAAAUGGUUCCUGUGUUAUCCUAGACAAAUAACUUAACUUCUCUGUCUGACUUAGUUUCCUUAUUAAUAAAAAUGAGGAUACUAAUAGUACUUACCUCUCAGGGUUGUUGUGAGAAUCAGAAAAUACAAUGUCUGAUAUAUAGUAGAGACUUAAUGUUCCUCCUCUGAUUUGCAUCUCAAGAGAAGAGAGUAACCCUAUGAGGCAGAGAUGAGAAGGAAGUGAAUUUUGUAAUGGAGGAUGACCAGUGUAAAAGCCCCGGGAUGGAAAAAUGGGAGUAUUAAGAAUGACAGUUCUCUGGACAAGUCACUUAAACCCCAUUGCCUAGCCUUUACCACUCUCCUGCCUUGUGUGGAAGAAGCAUGAAGGAAGAGAGAAUUUCAUGCAUGCAAGACAGAGAGUAAAGGACCUCAGAUGUCAAUCAGGAAAGAACUUUCCAAAUAGAAUGUUCCCAGGAAAGUCAGUUGGAGAGUCAAGCCAGGCUGAAGAGGGAAGAAGCUGGGAACAGGUUCCCUAUUAGCUUCUGUCCUAGGAUGAAGCCUCUUGGCUUUGGAAAGGGGAGGCAAGAAGAAGAGUCAUAUUCUGUCUUCGUCAACCUGAAGUGUAGUUGGCAUCAUUCCAUCUUUUCUUUCAAAGCCAGAAGCCAGGAUCAUUUGAAGAGAUUUAAAAGAGUUGGAGAGAAUGAAGAGACCUGAAGAGGAUGAAGACUGGAGAGCUUGGAUCACCUUGUUUCUCACACAGACUUAGGAUCUUGAUGUAUGUCAGUGAGGAGAGAUUCCCAUAAAAAUGUGCUAUGGGGAAAAUUUUUACAGUAACAAUCAGAGGUAUGGAACUUCCUUGGGGCAAGGACUAUCAGUCUAACCUCAAAAAAGAAUUUAUUAAGAUGUCACUAUACAAAAUACUGUACUAGGAAAGAGCACUACUUUUAAAAAGUCAAACUAGCUCUUGUCCACAAGGAUGUUGUGAUCAUUUUUGUCUUUAUUUAUAUCUCCAGAACCUGACAUAAUGCCUUACAUGAAGUAAUCAACUAAUAUUUAUUAAAUUCAAUAAGUGUUGAAUUGAAUUUUAAAAAAUUAUCCAGGUUUCAUUUUGGUAAUUUUUCUUUUAUUACCUCUAUUUAGUAAAUGUCUCCCUCUCCUGGUCCCCAUCUACUUAAAAAAGAAGUUCCUUUAGAAUCUUCAAACCUGCUAGAUAGAUAAUUGGAAAGAAAGUCUAUUGUGGGGAACUUAGUUUCAGAGACAUUUGAGUAGUUCCCUUGUACAUGCAUAACAGUUAACUUCUUUUAAUUAAACUUUUGCCAGAGAGAAAGAUCCUGAACUCAAGCCAGUCAAAUCACCUCACUUGAUUGGACCACAUAAUUAAAAUGAAAGCAUUCUAUUUCAGAGGGAGUCAUUUGUCACUCCUCACUCAUUGACUACUAAUUUCAUGGAAUUGUAGAAUGCUAGAACUUGAAGGGGCCUUGGAAGAUCAUCUAGUGAAUCCAAUUCUCUCAUUUCACAGAUGAGAAAACAUCUUUAAGUUGAUGAAAACACAGAAAAACGCAUGCAACAAAAGCCAUCUCACUCCACCCUCUAACUGAUUGUCUCUGACUAAAUUCCUAAAGAUUCAGAUCAGUAGAGAGGAGAAUUGUGCUGAGGGUAAAAGUAGGCCGUGGGGGACUCAUAGAGCCUCCAAGGUUACAUUUCAAGAGUGACU